UGGAUCCAGACUUUGCAUCCUGGCUCAGGACGAACGCUGGCGGCGUGCUUAACACAUGCAAGUCGAACGAGAAGAGAUGAGAAGCUUGCUUCUUAUCGAUUCGAGUGGCAAACGGGUGAGUAACGCGUAAGCAACCUGCCCUCUAGAUGGGGACAACAGCUGGAAACGGCUGCUAAUACCGAAUACGUCCUUUCUGCCGCAUGGCAGAAGGAAGAAAGGGAGGCUCUUCGGAGCUUUCGCUGGAGGAGGGGCUUGCGUCUGAUUAGCUAGUUGGAGGGGUAACGGCCCACCAAGGCGACGAUCAGUAGCCGGUCUGAGAGGAUGAACGGCCACAUUGGGACUGAGACAUGGCCCAGACUCCUACGGGAGGCAGCAGUGGGGAAUCUUCCGCAAUGGACGAAAGUCUGACGGAGCAACGCCGCGUGAACGAUGACGGCCUUCGGGUUGUAAAGUUCUGUUAUACGGGACGAAUGGUACGACGGCCAAUACCCGUCGUAAGUGACGGUACCGUAAGAG
Molecule: ribosomal RNA, 516 nt
Filed under: uncultured Bacillota bacterium
Lineage: Bacteria; Bacillati; Bacillota
Description: bacterial SSU rRNA
Rfam family: Bacterial small subunit ribosomal RNA
Source: RNAcentral